GACGAACGCUGGCGGCGUGCUUAACACAUGCAAGUCGAACGGAAAGGCCCUGCUUUUGUGGGGUGCUCGAGUGGCGAACGGGUGAGUAACACGUGAGUAACCUGCCCUUGACUUUGGGAUAACUUCAGGAAACUGGGGCUAAUACCGGAUAGGAGCUCCUGCUGCAUGGUGGGGGUUGGAAAGUUUCGGCGGUUGGGGAUGGACUCGCGGCUUAUCAGCUUGUUGGUGGGGUAGUGGCUUACCAAGGCUUUGACGGGUAGCCGGCCUGAGAGGGUGACCGGCGACAUUGGGACUGAGAUACGGCCCAGACUCCUACGGGAGGCAGCAGUGGGGAAUAUUGCACAAUGGGCGGAAGCCUGAUGCAGCAACGCCGCGUGCGGGAUGACGGCCUUCGGGUUGUAAACCGCCUUCGCCUGUGACGAAGCGUGAGUGACGGUAAUGGGUAAAGAAGCACCGGCUAACUACGUG
This 468-nucleotide ribosomal RNA is filed under the name uncultured bacterium. RNAcentral describes it as "partial 16S ribosomal RNA". It matches the Rfam family "Bacterial small subunit ribosomal RNA", at positions 28 to 507 of the family's 1533-position model. The record is from RNAcentral.